Molecule: non-coding RNA, 46 nt
Organism: Tropilaelaps mercedesae
Lineage: Eukaryota; Metazoa; Arthropoda; Arachnida; Mesostigmata; Laelapidae
Source: Rfam
AAAACGGCCCUUUUCAGGGCCACCAUUUGUUGUGAGAUCAGACACC